Molecule: ribosomal RNA, 254 nt
Filed under: uncultured bacterium
Lineage: Bacteria
Description: partial 16S ribosomal RNA
Rfam family: Bacterial small subunit ribosomal RNA
Source: RNAcentral
UACGAAGGGGGCUAGCGUUGUUCGGAAUUACUGGGCGUAAAGGGCGCGUAGGCGGCGUGUCAAGUCAGACGUGAAAGCCCCGGGCUCAACCUGGGAACCGCGCUUGAGACUGGCAUGCUCGAGUUCGGGAGAGGAUGGUGGAAUUCCCAGUGUAGAGGUGAAAAUUCGUAGAUAUUGGGAAGAACACCGAUGGCGAAGGCAGCCAUCUGGACCGACACUGACGCCGAGGCGCGAAAGCGUGGGGAGCGAACAGG